UACGACUACAUAUCAGGCAUAUCAAUAAGCGGAGGAAAAAGAAACUAACUAAGGAUUCCCUCAGUAACGGCGAGUGAAGCGGGAAGAGCUCAAAUUUGAAAUCUUCAAGGUUCUACCUUGACGAAUUGUAGUUUAAAGAAGUGUUUUCUGUUGAGUGUUUCGGUAAAAGUUCUUUGGAAUAGGACAUCAUAGAGGGUGAGAAUCCCGUAUUUGACCAUUAUUUCAGCUGUGUGAUACACUUUCAAAGAGUCGGAUUGUUUGGGAAUGCAGUCCAAAAUGGGUGGUAAAUUUCAUCUAAAGCUAAAUAUUGGCGAGAGACCGAUAGCGAACAAGUACCGUGAGGGAAAGAUGAAAAGAACUUUGAAAAGAGAGUUAAACAGUACGUGAAAUUGUCAAAAGGGAAGCGUUUGACACCAGUGUUGUUUUCUCGAAAAUCAAUUAAAAAAUGCUUGAUUUUGUGUUGUAUUGACCUUAAAAGCUUUCUUCACUUUUUUCAUGUCUUUUUAAUGCACUUUUCGUUUAACAAGUCAACAUCAGUUUCUUUUGUUGUAAAAAGGUCAUUGGAAGGUGGCUUUCUUUUCGGAGAAAGUGUUUAUAGCCUUUGACUCCUGCAAUCGGAGAGACUGAGGUCUGCAGCGUAGAUCCUUUCUGGAUUAGAUUCAGUUUGUGCUAAGUUACUAGCCUUUUAUAGACAACAUUGUUGACUAUAUUCGAUCCUGUAGCUUACUCGCUUAUGUAAUUUUACCUACGCUUAGGAUGUUGACACACGCGCGUGCUC
This 778-nucleotide ribosomal RNA is filed under the name uncultured Neocallimastigales. RNAcentral's name for it is "partial large subunit ribosomal RNA". It matches the Rfam family "Eukaryotic large subunit ribosomal RNA", at positions 24 to 608 of the family's 3401-position model. The record is from RNAcentral. Lineage: Eukaryota; Fungi; Neocallimastigomycota; Neocallimastigomycetes; Neocallimastigales.